This is a long non-coding RNA of Octopus sinensis (East Asian common octopus), 239 nucleotides long. RefSeq lists it as uncharacterized. The record is from RefSeq and is a predicted model, not a curated record. NCBI's taxonomy places the organism in Eukaryota, Metazoa, Mollusca, Cephalopoda, Octopoda, Octopodidae. The transcript has 3 exons.
AUUUGACCGGAGGAAAAACAUUUUCGACGAUAAUUUUGAUAAAUUGAGCAGAAAUAAAAAAAGACGAAGUAGGUCGUAUGAAUUGGGAUAUUCAUCAGGCCUAUUCGGAAGACGCCGGGGAGGUGAUUACAGCACUACAUCAUAUGUCCUUUUUGGAUCAUUUCUAAUGGCCAGUGUUUUGAUUGUUCUAUAUUGGAUGCACUGCCAAGAAAUAAUACUAAUCCCCAUUUUUAGAAUUG